AAAAACUGAGUGUUAAAUUCCCAUUAGCAAUUUAAAUUGAUUGCAUGUUGAAAUGAUAUUAUUUGGGAUAUACUGAGUUAAAUAAUCUAUUAUCAAGAUUAAUUUCUCACAUUUCUUAUGAUGUCAUUUAAGCUGCCCAGCAACCCUAUAUGAAGCAGAUAUUAUUUCUAGCUUAUCUCCAUUUAACUGGUAGAGAAGGGGCUCACAGUGGUAAAAUGACUUUCCGAAGGUCACGCGAUUUAGGGAGGGGAAUUGAUUUGCCCAAGAACAGACAACUAGACCAUCAGAGAAUGAUCACUGAUCAUUUGGUUUGGAAAUGGGGGUCUUUGAAGAACAGGUACCUUUCUCUUUCCUCAGUGUGUAUUAAUCUUCUCCACAGAGGGCUCCAGAGUAUGUCAGAAGGAUGACAUGUUACCAAUCAUGAAUCAGUUUUAGAGAGCGGGGCAAAUACAUUCUAAAAGCCAACCACUCAUACCUGUGUCAGGGGACAGCUGGUUGUCCCCACAGAGCUGCUCUCCCCUUCCUCCUUAGCAGUAGAGCUUCUGGUGUUGCGCUGGGUUCAUGGCUGCUGGAAAUGAAGUCGCCUUGCCUGGCCUUCGUUAUGGCUGCAUGUUGCUGAGUAACUAAGUUCUGGUCCACGGGAUGGGGUGUAAGCAGAAGAGGCACGUGAGACUUCUGGGAAGUGGCCUUAACUGCGGGAGACAUGGCCUCCCUCCUGCUCUUUCUCUGUCUUGUUGGGGGUGCAGCCAGCCUGGGCCAGAAGGUGGAAACCCCAGGUAGAGGAUGGCCUUUUGCCACCGUGGUGGGCAUCACCUCCCUCUGGGCUUCUUUUAUGUGUGAAAGAAUUAAACCUCACGGGGACCAUGAGAUUUCUGUCACAUACAGCUGACCUUAAUCCUAACACCACGUAUCAAAAAUUUCCUCCAAAUAUGUCAAAAAUGAGAUGGCUAUAGUGGAAUGAUCCUUGGAGUCAGAAAGGCCCAAGUUGAAUUCCUCUUAGGAUGUGUAAGCUUCAAAAAUUUGUAUGAGUCUAUAUUUCAAAUCGAAGAAUUUUAUUUUUGAAAAAGAAAUAUAUGCAAAGGAUUACAAUUAUUUCAAACAGCUUUUUUGUCUUUUUAGGGUUGCACCUAUGUCAUAUGGAAGUUCCCAGGCUAGGGGUCGAAUCAGCUGUACCUCCCAGCCUACACCACAGCUCAUGGUAAUGCUGGAUCCUUAACCCACUGAGUGAGGCCAGGGAUUGAACCCGUCUCCUUACAGAUACUAGUCAGAUUCGAUACUACUGAGCCACAGUGGGAACUCCUCAAAAAUAAACUUUGUAUUUUAUGUGAUGAAAAGUUAUUUAACCUCUCUGUGACUCUGUUUCUUCCACUGUAAAAUGGGACUAAUAAUACUGAAAUAAGUGUGUGUGUGUGUGUGUACCUGUGUGUAUGGGAAGGCAUGGCAACUAGCACAGGGCUGGCUGCACACAAUAAGCACUCAUUAACUCUUGCUUUCUGUUUCACUGCCUGAUAUGAGUCAGACACAACACGGAGAGCUGAAGGUGUACAAGAAUAGUUCCUUGUCUUCACGAAGAUCAGUAGAAUUGAGUAGAUGAGCUAUGUAGGAAAACAUAACACCCAAGAAGAUGAGGGCCCCAAAGAGGUACAAGGAACGUGCUAAAUAAGAAGUAAUCUCGUGGAGUGCCUUUGGAGUCAGGUAGAGAUUUGCAGUCUCUUGAGGUUGGGAGUGUGGGCGGGUUAGCUCCUCUUUCUGAGUCUCAGUUUCCACUUCUCUAAGAGCGGAAUCCUAUUGUUCAUGACCAUGUAAGAUUGUUGGAAGAAUCAAAUGAAAGAAAGCAUAUUAAAGUACUAAGCACUAUGACUUGGCCCAAAGGCCAAUAAACAUAAUUAAUAUGAUCAUUUUGGGGCUGAGGAGAUCAGGAUCUGCUUUCUAAAGGAGGUGGCUUUUAAGCUCAGAUUUGAAGGAGGCGUGAAACAAGCGAAGGGCCCUCAAGGUGACAGCAAGUGUAUUUACCAGGUCGAGAAGAACAACAGGGAAAAGGCAACUCUAAGGAAGAAUGACACAUACACUGGGCUAAAGUGAGGGAUCUGGGGGAGCAUAGGCAGGAAGGAGACUGGGAAGGAAGGCUGAGGUGUGAUGGAGAGGUGAAUGCUAAGCCAGGCAUGUUGACUUCAUUCCCUACCUCCUAGGGAGCUUUUAAAAAAUUUUUGAACAUAAACACAAUAUAUUCAUUAUGUGUGAUUGACUUAAUUUCUUAGAGGAAGGUCAAUAAAGCAGGGCUGGCAGGAGUUUUCUGGUGGCCCAGUGGUUUAUGGAUUGGGCAUUGUCACUGCUGUGGCUUGGGUUUGAUCCCUGGUCCCAAACUUCUGUAUGCUGUGGGAACAGCCAAAAAAAAGGGCAUGAGUCAAGGUGUUGGCCUUGAAAAUGGGGGGGAAGGGAGGCCUCUGAGUUAGAGGCAGCUGGGCACAGCGCCUGGCUAGGUGUUGCCUUUCAGACACUCUUGCAAGAGAGGGGAGUGGACCCAGUGUGACAUCUGCGUACUCACCCCAUCAUCACCCCCAAAUGAGGGAUUUCCCAGGCAAUGUACUUAGUGGCCUGAGGGAUCCCUGGGCACACCGGUCCAGCAGGAUAGCUCUGCUUUCUCCUCAAGUCCCAGCUUCACCUCCACCCAGGACUCAGCAGAGAGGCUGAUGGGAUUGGCUCCAUGACCCAAGGAGAAGGGUGAGUCAUGUUCAGCAGAGCAGUGCCUUCCUACCUUCCUACCUAAGCCAGUGGCCUGGGUUGUGAAUCUAGUAGAAAGGUCAUCAGAACAGGUCUGAGAGGCUCCAGUCAUUGGCUGCCAAGCAGCUUGUUGAACCCUGUAUAGUAUUUUCUCUCCACCUAUAAGAUGGGUGUACCUCUCUGAGGUUGGGAAAAUAAAAUCAGAUAAUAAAUUCUUCCGUUGGUUCAUUCAGCCACUGUUGACUGGUCCAUGCUCUGUGUCAAUGUGCUGGGAAGAGGGGAAUGGGUAAGACAUAGGCUCGCGCUCCAGAGGCUUGACUUCUAAUGGAGAAAUAGGGAAAUAAAUAGAAACACUGGCACAGAACUAAACUUUCCAACAGAUACUUUCACAUUUACUAACUCCCUUAAGUCAUCUCAUGGGAGGUGGAAACGAAUUACACCCAUUUGACAGAUGAAGAAACUGAGGGCCAUGAAGGGAUUUGCCCUUCCUGGCAUUCCUACAUUGCAUUGUACGUAAUUCCAUCACAGUCCUUAGCCCUCUCUCUAUUAGGGCUGGAGGUGCACAUGUUGAGCGCCCUCCAUCCCCCCUGCAAACUUUAAGCUCUCUAUGGGCAGGGCUAACUUCUCAUGAGUCUGUUGACCAACUAGCCUCAAGCCCAAGCUUGGCACAUAGUAAUAGAGGAUUGGCAGGCAGAGGGAGUGGUGGGAGGAACGCAGCUCAAAGUUCUGGGGUAUCAGCCAAGUGCGGGCUUGGCUUCUCACCUCUACUACAAAACUUGGGUGCUGUGCAUAUUCACAUAUCUGUUACAUAUGUGCCAGGGGCUGAGAUGAGUUAUGGGAUUUGCCCAAGGUCACUUUGAGAGUAAUCUGAGAAAUUUCAAACUCACACAUGGUGCAGAAAAGAUAAUGUGUAUAUUGGGGUGGGUUGAAGUGGCUGGAGUGUCCAGCAGUCUAAAGCCAGAACUAGAGCAAAUCUCCCGUAAAGCAUUUGGCUGGUCCCUGGAAGCAUCUUUAUCCACCAGAGCCCAAUCCUGCACUUAGGCCUUUACUUGUAUCUGUGUUUCUUUCACUGUACCCUCUCAAGACUGUUGGUGAGUACUUACUGAAUAAAUGCUUGAAUGGGAGAGCAAGGGCAGGCAGAGAUCAUCACAAAUGCUGAACCCUCCCUUUGUGCCAGUGAAAUACUGAUGCCAGUGAAAUUUUGAUGCUUUCUUUUUUCAUCCUCUCAACGUCAUGAUGAAGUAAGCACUCCGAUUGCUCCAGGUUUCAGAGAGAAACUGAGGCUUUAAAAUGUUGGGUCUUAGGAGUUCUCAUCUUGGCUCAGCAGAAACGAAUCUGGCUAGUAUCCAUGAGGAUGUGAGUUCCAUCCCUGGCCCUGCUCAGGGGGUUAAAGAUCCCGCGUUACUGUGAGCUGUGGUGCAGGUUGCAGACUCGGCUCAGGUUUGGUGUUGCUGUGGCUGUGGCAUAGGCCAGCGGCUACAGCUCCAAUUCGACCCCUAUCCUGGGAGCCUCCAUAUGCCGUGGGUGUGGCCCU
This 4255-nucleotide long non-coding RNA is filed under the name Sus scrofa (pig). Its description in RNAcentral is "lncRNA (ENSSSCG00000052447.1)". The record is from RNAcentral. Lineage: Eukaryota; Metazoa; Chordata; Mammalia; Artiodactyla; Suidae.